This 77-nucleotide transfer RNA is filed under the name Candidatus Omnitrophota bacterium. RNAcentral describes it as "tRNA-Pro". It matches the Rfam family "tRNA". From Rfam's summary of the family: Transfer RNA (tRNA) molecules are approximately 80 nucleotides in length. Their secondary structure includes four short double-helical elements and three loops (D, anti-codon, and T loops). Further hydrogen bonds mediate the characteristic L-shaped molecular structure. tRNAs have two regions of fundamental functional importance: the anti-codon, which is responsible for specific mRNA codon recognition, and the 3' end, to which the tRNAs corresponding amino acid is attached (by aminoacyl-tRNA synthetases). tRNAs cope with the degeneracy of the genetic code in two manners: having more than one tRNA (with a specific anti-codon) for a particular amino acid; and 'wobble' base-pairing, i.e. permitting non-standard base-pairing at the 3rd anti-codon position. Lineage: Bacteria; Pseudomonadati; Candidatus Omnitrophota. The record is from RNAcentral.
CGGGAUGUAGCACAGCUUGGUAGUGCGCUCGGUUCGGGACCGAGAGGUCGCGCGUUCAAAUCGCGCCAUCCCGACCA